GGGGAGACGAGCUCCGGAGUCGGAAGAGCUGGGUUUUCUUCCGGGCCUAGCCACCAGUUGGCGGAGUGACCUUAGGCGAGUCACUCUGUAAUUUGUCUGCGCCUCAGUUUCCUCCUCUGCCUAUCAAUGUGUGUGGGGUUGAAAUCGCUUUGUAAACUAUAAAGCGUGGGUGUACGUAAAGGAUGGUUAUUGUUUAUAAUUUUUUUUGAGUUGUAAGAAAACUUAGCAGUUCCCCAAUCCUUGGGUUUUGAACCUGGGAACCUUGGAUUGGAGUUGGGGAUCCCCAAACUUCCUGAAAUUGUGGGAAUGUGCGGUUUGGGGGAAUGAUGGGAAUUUGUGGGAAUGUGCGUUUUAGGGGAAUGAUGAUCCAUCGCUAGCAAGUUUUCCAAGGGGGCUGUGACCCAGAAGAGUUAAGAAUCACAAUUUCUUCAUGCUACAGAGAGGAAACUGAGGCCUAGAUGUCAUUUGGGACCCUUCACAACCAUUUUGAAGCCCUGUUUGAGUCCCUGGGAUAUGUGAGCUGUUUCUAUGCAUAAUGGAUAUUCGGGGUUAACAACAGUCCCCUGCUUGGCUUCUAUUCUGAAUCCUUUUCUUUCACCAUGGGGUGCCUGAAGGGUGGCUGAUGCAUAUGGUACAAUGGCACCCAGUGUAAAGCAGCUACAAUUAGGAGUGGAUGUGUUCUGUAGCAUCCUAUUUAAAUAAGCCUAUUUUAUCCUUUGGCCCGUCAACUCUGUUAUCUGCUGCUUGUACUGGUGCCUGUACUUUUCUGACUCUCAUUGACCAUAUUCCACGACCAUGGUUGUCAUCCAUUACUUGAUCCUACUUUACAUGUCUAGGCUGUGUGGUUGGUGGUGAAUAGGCUUCUUUUUACAUGGUGCUGCCAGCCCAGCUAAUUAAUGGUGCACGUGGACUUUUAGCAAGCGGGCUCACUGGAAGAGACUGAACCUGGCAUGGAAUUCCUGAAGAUGUUUGGGGUUUUUUUCUUUCUUAAUCGAAAGUUAACAUUGUCUGAAAAGUUUUGUUAGAACUACUGCGGAACCUCAAAAUCAGUAGAUUUGGAAGUGAUUCAAAGCUAAACUUUUUCCUUGGCCCUCCUUGUGUUCUAAUUGCUUGCAAGUGUAAUACUAGGAUGUCCAAGAUGCCAGUUUUUGCUUCUUUGUUAGUUGUCAGCUGCUUUUAUCAAAUUUCAGGCCAUUAUCCAACAAACACUAUAAAAAUGUUUGAACAAUUGGAUUUCAAACAUUUUCGUUUUGUGGAGUGGUGCUCACCAAGUGGUACAGCCCUAAGCAAGUGAACACAAACACAUUUAAGUGUAUUUUGUCUGAUUAGAUGUUAGCCAGUUAUGCUAUUUCAUUCAAAUGUCUGAAAAAAUCAAUUGACUAUUCCCUUUUCCUAAAGGGCAGAGACAGAUAAUCUCACUUCCAGAGAAAUGACUUGGAGAAAAAAAAGUGUUGGUCUUUUUGCUCUUUUGUAAUUAAAUCCGGAUGUACCUCAAAAGACUUAAGACUGUGGUGAUAAGAUGCUUUCCUCAGCAGAAAGGAGGGAAAAAAAACAACUGGAACUCAAAGCUUGAAAUUCUGUGGCAAAACAUGAGAUGUCCAGGAUUGGAGGUUGAAAAGAUUUCACUACAGUGUUCUGCAAUAGUUGGAGCAGAUAACUUUCAGUGUAGCCACAGCCAUGGACUCCAGAUUUCCAGAUUUUCAAGACCUGGACCUGGAACCCGAAAGAGCUUGUCACGAUGCGGCAGGAACACUGGAGGUAGAUUUUUUUUUAUUUUUGAAUUUUGGGACUGUUGACCUUGCUGUGAGAAAAGAGACAACGACUGAGCAAGCACUACCACCAGCACUGUUACUGGGAAUUAGAAGACCUGAGUUUCUGUCCAGACCCUCAGUGCAAACUGAGGAUGCUCCAUCCAAAGUGAAUUAUGCCUACAGACCUGGUACCUGGAUUUUUGCCCGAGAUGAUUCCUACCACCUUACUACUGACGAAGACACCCAUUCCAGUGGACCACUGUGACCCAGGAGGCAUUCAGCCAUCAUGAUGUGGCCUUUACCUCCACUCCUGUCUUGUUCUACCCAGAUUCAGCACAGCCCUUUAUAGUGAAGUCAGAGUCCUCAAGCCAAAUAGCUAAAGCUGUUUUAUCACAACAAAGGCCUAGUUUGUUCCAUGAGUGUGCAUUUCAUUUCUUCAGUUAAAGCCUUCAGAGACACACAAUAAAUUUGGACCAGGGGAUUUUUUAGUUAUUAAUGCUCUCUGAAGAAAGGCAACAUCUUUUUGAGAGCAGCAUUGGACCACACCCCACAAUCUCAAAUGAUUGAAAUUCAUGAACAUCUAGGAUCCCGUGAAGGUCACUGGACCCUGUUUUUUCUACUUCAAAUCCUGUAGUAGCCUACUGAAUGAGAAAACAUAUUCUGACCCAUUGGGAUCAAAUCAAAGGCACAGUGAACUCCUCAUAGCAUCUUCUUUGGAAUUACUCAGGAACCAGAACUUUUUACACAAAUGUAAGAAAUUCUACCAAGGAGUCCCCUUACCUAACAGCAUCUCACAAGGCUGCACCAGAUUCCAGAAAAGGCUUCUCUUGAUACAUCAAGCAUUUUGUGACCGACUUAUUCUUAGAUCAUUGGUUUUCCAAAGGCUUUGUGGCCAUGAAGCCCUUUGAGUGAAAACUGUGCAGAAGCCCAGAGUAAAAGUGAAGCUGCUCUGGAUGAAGUAGUGAAGCAAGAGUAGGGGCCUGAAUCCUGCUACAACUAUCUUCCUUUACCACCGUGGUGACACCUAAGGGGACUUCCUUACAACACCUUGAACUCUUCCGAACACAGUUUGAAAACCACUGCCCCAGACAGCAAUAUGUUUGACCUGAAUGGCAUUCCAAUCUUUUCUGUACCUCCACUCAGCACAGUUCAUGUUCAGUAGAUGCUGAACAUUCUUAGAAAUACUGUGUGUGAACUUAGAAAAGUGCAAGAAGACAGGCAUGUCUUUGACCCCAGGAAUGAUCAUUUGCUGAAGAUGGUGUCAAGUGAACCUAGAUUAACAGCCCUCCACUCCAGAUGGAUAUCCAGUGAUUCCUAGAAUGGGAUAUAGCCAGAGAACAAUUCUAUGCACCCUACACUGACAGACUCCCUUAAGCAACACCAGAUGCUCUACUGGUACUUGAAGUACAUGACUUUGAAGUCUUGACCCUCCAUGAAUACCUGAAUUAUCAGCAAGCGGGUUUUGAAGCUGGUGCCUCAUUGAGGCCAUAUUAGAGCAACUUGUACAUUUGACCUCUUGUUAUCAGCCAUGGUACUCUACUUCGUGUGCAAGAGAUAACUAUGAAAGCCAAAUUCAAAUACUGGCAACAUUUCCUAAAGGGGCUCAAUAUCUAUCAUUCGUCUUCUUUUCCAAACUACACAUCACUGUAUGACUCAACCAGUAGCAGU
This 3419-nucleotide long non-coding RNA is filed under the name Homo sapiens (human). RNAcentral's name for it is "non-protein coding TUG1:66". The stretch from base 1852 to 2097 matches the Rfam family "Taurine upregulated gene 1 conserved region 3". Lineage: Eukaryota; Metazoa; Chordata; Mammalia; Primates; Hominidae. The record is from RNAcentral.